GCAGCCGCGGUAAUACGUAGGUGGCAAGCGUUAUCCGGAUUUACUGGGUGUAAAGGGCGUGUAGCCGGGAAGGCAAGUCAGAUGUGAAAUCUAUGGGCUCAACCCAUACGAGCAUUUGAAACUGUCUUUCUUGAGUAUCGGAGAGGUAAUCGGAAUUCCUAGUGUAGCGGUGAAAUGCGUAGAUAUUAGGAAGAACACCAGUGGCGAAGGCGGAUUACUGGACGACAACUGACGGUGAGGCGCGAAAGCGUGGGGAGCAAACAGGAUUAGAUACCCC
Molecule: ribosomal RNA, 277 nt
Filed under: uncultured Rikenellaceae bacterium
Lineage: Bacteria; Pseudomonadati; Bacteroidota; Bacteroidia; Bacteroidales; Rikenellaceae
Description: partial 16S ribosomal RNA
Rfam family: Bacterial small subunit ribosomal RNA
Source: RNAcentral